AGAGCGCGGUGAAAGCUGAGGAAGUCAUUUAUGUAACGGACUCUGUGAGAUCAGAGACAAGGAGUAAAAUGCCUGAGCUCAAGUGACAACAAGCAACCCCAGACUAGAGACAGGAUCCUUCUCCCCACUUCGAGCAGAUCCCAGCAUGAAUCCUGCAGUAUGGUGAUGGCAAAAGUCAGUGCAGGACCACUGGGACUCCUGGAGCUUCUCACAUCUCUGAGAGCACCAGCAGCAGAAAACAUCGCCCAUUUCAUCUGUUUCUUCAGUCCCCAGAUAGCAGAUGACUGGUAGGAAGAUGAGGCAAGUUUGCGGUCCAUUGUCAUGGAUAGUGGAGACAACACUGGGCCAGAAGUGGUAAGACCUGAAUCCAAGACUCAGCUCUGCCACUUGCUAAAUGGGACUUUGAAUAAACCAUUUCUCUGCACUUAAGUUCCUUACCAACAAAACGAGGGAAGUGGCCUACAUGCCUAGAUAUCAACAUUUCAUGUCACGUAGAGAUCUAGCAUCACAAGAAUCCAAGUCAUCCUCUGUUGCCUUUAAGAUUUCAGCAUGGUGAAGGAAAAGUAGCAGAAGACUGAAUGCAUACUCAGUUUUCAAGCUCUGGAUUUAAUCUUUCCAUAGCUGGAAUUGCCUCCUCCUCAAAAGCCUUAUUUGUUCAUUUAAUUGGGGCAACAUGAAAUAAUGAUGUAUCAUUGACAGAGAACAGGGGGCUUAGGUUCUCAUCUUGGUCCUAGUGAUUACUCUAUGCAUAACCUCAACUUCUUUAUCUGUACAUUGGGAACAAUAAUUCUUACUCCACUUGUUGUGUUGAAACUGAAUUAUAUAAUUCAUAAAUUAAAACACCAAAUUCUGAUAAAUGCUAAAUGCCAUUUUCUUAUCUUGUUCUUUCCUAUAAUGC
RNAcentral lists this long non-coding RNA (898 nucleotides) under Homo sapiens (human). RNAcentral describes it as "HSALNT0224952". Lineage: Eukaryota; Metazoa; Chordata; Mammalia; Primates; Hominidae. The record is from RNAcentral.